GCUGGGUGUGGUGGCACACGCCUGUAAUCCCAGCUACUUGGGGGCUGAGGCAGGAGGAUCACUUGAACCCAGGAGACAGAGGUUGCAGUCAGCCAAGAUCUCACCACUGCACUCUAGCCUGGGUGACAGAGUGAGACUCCGCCUCAA
This 147-nucleotide non-coding RNA is filed under the name Gorilla gorilla gorilla (western lowland gorilla). Lineage: Eukaryota; Metazoa; Chordata; Mammalia; Primates; Hominidae. The record is from Rfam by way of RNAcentral.